AUAAUCCAUGGACCACAUGAAAAGGCAUCUUUUUUUUUAAUAUUUUCUAAAUUAACUCUAAUGACUGAAUAAAUUCUUCAUAUACUUAGAUUGAGAAUUUUUUUAACAUCGAAUCAAAAGCACACAAUUGAAGAAUAGGGAAUCAACAACUAAAGCACAGAAAUUCAGAAGACAACUCAAAAAGUUCAAGAGCUGGAAAUUAGGAGCCUCUAGGAGCAGUAAUGGAAAGAGCAACUGCGAGAGAUGCAGUCCUUUCUGAGCAGCGACACUCUUUUCUUCCUCGUUUUUAACGUUUGUGAGGACUUACCAUCUAAAUUAUGCAUAUUGCAAUAAACACAAAAAACUAGUACAUCAAUAAAAAUGAGUUGAAUUAUGCAUAUUGCAAUAAGCACAAAAAACUAACUAGGACAUCAAGAAAAAUGAGAGAAUGAAUUACCCAGCCAUUAAUCGAGUUCUAUACAGAUGCAGGACAAUUCGAUCCACUUGAGCAAGUGUUGCACAAUAUUACAAGAAUGGGUGCUACUUGUUUAAAUAGAGCG
Molecule: unclassified non-coding RNA, 539 nt
Filed under: Hevea brasiliensis (rubber tree)
Lineage: Eukaryota; Viridiplantae; Streptophyta; Magnoliopsida; Malpighiales; Euphorbiaceae
Source: RNAcentral